Molecule: transfer RNA, 87 nt
Filed under: Janthinobacterium lividum
Lineage: Bacteria; Pseudomonadati; Pseudomonadota; Betaproteobacteria; Burkholderiales; Oxalobacteraceae
Also listed under: 1 other name
Description: tRNA-Tyr
Rfam family: tRNA
About the family: Transfer RNA (tRNA) molecules are approximately 80 nucleotides in length. Their secondary structure includes four short double-helical elements and three loops (D, anti-codon, and T loops).
Source: RNAcentral
GCACAGGUGGCCGAGUGGUUAAUGGCAGCAGACUGUAAAUCUGCCACGCAACGCGUUACGGAGGUUCGAAUCCUCCCCUGUGCACCA